UAAGAAAAUCAAAAAUCUAACCCUAGAUAUCAAACUAUCAUAAACGGCAACCCUAAUUCAUUGCAAACCAUAAUUCGAUGCAAAAGUGGGAAAAUCAAAACCCUAAUUUAUUUCAAUCCAACCCAAAACUUACAGCUGGAGCUUAAACGGAUGUCAGAGAACUUGGAUCCGGCAGCUGAUGCGAAAGAUUCGGUGGUCGGCGUCGGCGGAGGUUCGUCGUGAAUGUUCGUCAGCACUGUUGUUCGAGAACUCGGCAGAGAAGGAGAGAAGAAAAAGAGAGAAGAAAGGAGAAGAAAGAAAGAGAGAGAAAGAAAUGUAAUUUAAUGAGAAAGAUUCUCUUCUUUGAAUUGAAAUUUAAAAUACAUAGUUUGAACACACAAGAGUUAUUACCAAUAAACGUGGAAUGCGGGCCCAGACAAAAGACUGCGCAUUAGCCAUAGUUGUUCAGUUAUUCAGUUGUACGGUUCUCAAGUUAUUUGUACUUUGUGGAAGUUUUAAUAUUUAGAGUUGGACUUCAUAAAUAUCAUUAACUUAUAGUUGGACAGAUGAUAUAAAAUGUU
Molecule: small RNA, 560 nt
Filed under: Arabidopsis thaliana (thale cress)
Lineage: Eukaryota; Viridiplantae; Streptophyta; Magnoliopsida; Brassicales; Brassicaceae
Description: ATSL166010
Source: RNAcentral